UGGGGAAUAUUGCACAAUGGACGGAAGUUUGAUGCAGCGACGCCGCGUGGAGGGUGUAGGCCUUCGGGUUGUGAACUCCUUUUUCUCGCGAAAAAGGCACAGUUUUGGCUGUGUUGAUGGUAGUGGGGGAAGAAGCGCCGGCGAACUACGUGCCAGCAGCCGCGGUAAUACGUAGGGCGCGAGCGUUGUCCGGAUUUAUUGGGCGUAAAGAGCUCGUAGGUGGUUCGUCGCGUCUGUCGUGAAAGCCAGCAGCUUAACUGUUGGUCUGCGGUGGGUACGGGCGGGCUUGAGUGCGGUAGGGGUGACUGGACUUCCUGGUGUAGCGGUGGAAUGCGCAGAUAUCAGGAGGAACACCGAUGGCGAAGGCAGGUCACUGGGCCGUUACUGACACUGAGGGGCGAAAGCGUGGGGAGCGAACAGG
Molecule: ribosomal RNA, 421 nt
Filed under: Fusobacteriota bacterium
Lineage: Bacteria; Fusobacteriati; Fusobacteriota
Description: Fusobacteria bacterium partial 16S ribosomal RNA
Rfam family: Bacterial small subunit ribosomal RNA
Source: RNAcentral